Molecule: ribosomal RNA, 608 nt
Filed under: Sphingomonas sp. EE11
Lineage: Bacteria; Pseudomonadati; Pseudomonadota; Alphaproteobacteria; Sphingomonadales; Sphingomonadaceae
Description: bacterial SSU rRNA
Rfam family: Bacterial small subunit ribosomal RNA
Source: RNAcentral
GCUCAGAACGAACGCUGGCGGCAUGCCUAACACAUGCAAGUCGAACGAGAUCUUCGGAUCUAGUGGCGCACGGGUGCGUAACGCGUGGGAAUCUGCCUUGGGGUUCGGAAUAACUCCCCGAAAGGGGUGCUAAUACCGGAUGAUGUCGAAAGACCAAAGAUUUAUCGCCCUGAGAUGAGCCCGCGUAGGAUUAGCUAGUUGGUGUGGUAAAGGCGCACCAAGGCGACGAUCCUUAGCUGGUCUGAGAGGAUGAUCAGCCACACUGGGACUGAGACACGGCCCAGACUCCUACGGGAGGCAGCAGUGGGGAAUAUUGGACAAUGGGCGAAAGCCUGAUCCAGCAAUGCCGCGUGAGUGAUGAAGGCCUUAGGGUUGUAAAGCUCUUUUACCCGGGAAGAUAAUGACUGUACCGGGAGAAUAAGCCCCGGCUAACUCCGUGCCAGCAGCCGCGGUAAUACGGAGGGGGCUAGCGUUGUUCGGAAUUACUGGGCGUAAAGCGCACGUAGGCGGCUUUGUAAGUCAGAGGUGAAAGCCUGGAGCUCAACUCCAGAACUGCCUUUGAGACUGCAUCGCUUGAAUCCAGGAGAGGUGAGGUGGAUUCCGAGUGU